This 541-nucleotide ribosomal RNA is filed under the name uncultured fungus. Its description in RNAcentral is "eukaryotic LSU rRNA". The stretch from base 29 to 182 matches the Rfam family "5.8S ribosomal RNA". Lineage: Eukaryota; Fungi. The record is from RNAcentral.
UUUUUUUGCGAUCACACGCAAUCAAUACAACUUUCAACAACGGAUCUCUUGGCUCUCGCAUCGAUGAAGAACGCAGCGAAAUGCGAUACGUAAUGUGAAUUGCAGAAUUCAGUGAAUCAUCGAAUCUUUGAACGCACCUUGCGCCCUUUGGCAUUCCGAAGGGCACACCCGUUUGAGUGUCGUGACAUUCUCAAACCUUCUUGGUUUCUUAACUGAGAAGGCUUUGGACUUUGGAGGCUUUUGCUGGACCUUCNUUUGUUGAAGCCAGCUCCUCUUAAAUGAAUUAGUGGGGUCUGCUUUGCUGAUCCUUGACGUGAUAAGAUGCUUCUACGUCUUGGGUUUUGCACUGUUUGCUCUAGAUCCUGCUUCUAACCGUCUCAUAGAAGACAAAUGGUCGACUUGACCCACGAACCUUGACCUCAAAUCGGGUGAGACUACCCGCUGAACUUAAGCAUAUCAAUAAGCGGAGGAAAAGAAACUAACAAGGAUUCCCCUAGUAACUGCGAGUGAAGCGGGAAAAGCUCAAAUUUAAAAUCUGGUG